GACGAACGCUGGCGGCGUGCCUAAUACAUGCAAGUCGAGCGAAGUUUUUCUGGUGCUUGCACUAGAAAAACUUAGCGGCGAACGGGUGAGUAACACGUAAAGAACCUGCCCCAUAGACUGGGACAACUAUUGGAAACGAUAGCUAAUACCGGAUAACAGUAUUUCUCGCAUGAGAGAUAUUUAAAAGUUGGUUAUGCUAACACUAUGAGAUGGCUUUGCGGUGCAUUAGCUAGUUGGUGGGGUAAAGGCCCACCAAGGCGACGAUGCAUAGCCGACCUGAGAGGGUGAUCGGCCACACUGGGACUGAGACACGGCCCAGACUCCUACGGGAGGCAGCAGUAGGGAAUCUUCCGCAAUGGGCGAAAGCCUGACGGAGCAACGCCGCGUGAGUGAAGAAGGAUUUCGGUUCGUAAAGCUCUGUUGUUAGGGAAGAAUGGAUAUGUAGUAACUAUACAUGUAAGAGACGGUACCUAAACAGAAAGCCACGGCUAACUACGUG
Molecule: ribosomal RNA, 499 nt
Filed under: uncultured bacterium
Lineage: Bacteria
Description: partial 16S ribosomal RNA
Rfam family: Bacterial small subunit ribosomal RNA
Source: RNAcentral